Aegilops tauschii subsp. strangulata is the source of this 1089-nucleotide long non-coding RNA. RefSeq lists it as uncharacterized. The record is from RefSeq and is a predicted model, not a curated record. Lineage: Eukaryota; Viridiplantae; Streptophyta; Magnoliopsida; Poales; Poaceae.
UCAGGCGUAAAUUCCUCUGGGUUCAGCGCCUUGGGAACCCAAUCCUAAGGAAUUUUGAGAACGCAAUCCUGUGAUCCAAAUGCAAUCCGUAGGAUACAAUCCUGAGGUUUACAAUCCAGCAAAAAUCCUGUGAAAAUCCUUCGAUCCAAAGAAGGCUUUAAAUAGAAUAUGAAAUCGAGCUUUCAGCUGCAUCUUUUAGCAUCCUAGCCCUCUCAUCAACUUCAGAGUUACCACUGGGGUCACUUUUCUCAAGAAAUCUGGAAAAAAGCGAGGAUUCUCAAGUAAGAUAAGUCUGCUUACAAAAAUUUGCCUGCUGGAAAGUAGAUAAGAGACUCAUGAAGUAAGAAGACAUGCCUACAUAUUAUACAUAGCAGGCUUCUGACUUCUCUGAUUCUUCAAGCCUUGAGACUGUGAAACAUCUAUGCUAGGUCGUCACCUUCAUUUGAUUAGGUACAGCGUUCACUGCUAUGAAAGAAGAAGGCAUAGAUUUGCCUUGUGGAAUUGCCAGUAGAAUGGCAGUGAGAACGAGUAAAUAUCUACGACAGGCAAUACAUUAUUUUGAAGCUACAUGGAAAGCAAAGUGACAACGAGGAAUUGUUAUCCACUUGAGAAAAUAAAGAUUAAAUCGAUGAUGCUCUCAAAAGUAAAAUGACUUCCUGAGCUGGAUAGUGACAUUUAUGACUGUAUUGGUUCUCACUCAAAGUAGAGGCCCAACAAACUUUUUUGAAGUAGGAGUCUAAAACUACAAAUCCAUCUAUUCCUAGAAUGGAGCUGGUUGGAGUUGAGCCUACAAUUGAGCGGGUAGUUCGGUGGCACCGACAUCCAGCUGAAAGUUUAUAGGAGGGUUAGUAAAGCAAAUUUGUUCAUGACGAAAUGUGCCGGCAAAACAUUGAGUCAGAGUGCAAGUCAAAUGCUCUUAACAAUUUUUUUGUCGCUUUUCUUUAAUUACAAUUCUUAUUUUUUUUAGUUGGCAUUGAUAUACAAAAGAAAAUCCUGUGGCUUUUUUGCCCUCUCAUCAACCAUUGUAUUUUUGAGUUGUAUCAGUCUAUGUAAAAGAAUUCAGUACCUUAUGUUUUGUAUAUUUGGAAA